UACGUAGGGUGCAAGCGUUGUCCGGAAUUAUUGGGCGUAAAGAGUUCGUAGGCGGUUUGUCGCGUCCGUUGUGAAAACUCGAGGCUCAACCUCGAGACGCCGAUGGAAACCCCCUAACUAGAGUCCGGAAGAGGAGAGUGGAAUUCCUGGUGUAGCGGUGAAAUGCGCAGAUAUCAGGAAGAACACCCGUGGCUAAGGCGGCUCUCUAGUACGGUACUGACGCUGAGACGCGAAAGCGUGGGGAGCGAACAGG
This 253-nucleotide ribosomal RNA is filed under the name uncultured bacterium. Its description in RNAcentral is "partial 16S ribosomal RNA". It matches the Rfam family "Bacterial small subunit ribosomal RNA", at positions 524 to 776 of the family's 1533-position model. The record is from RNAcentral.